RNAcentral lists this long non-coding RNA (293 nucleotides) under Arachis ipaensis. RNAcentral's name for it is "long non-coding RNA (AIPA_LNC000383)". Lineage: Eukaryota; Viridiplantae; Streptophyta; Magnoliopsida; Fabales; Fabaceae. The record is from RNAcentral.
UCGGGCAGAUCUUUACUCAGAGUAGAACAGAAACCUAAAAGAAAAGAAUUGAAGAAGCCCAUUCAGAAACAAGAAAAUUACAUUGUGAUUUAAUUUUAUUUAGAUUCGAUCUCGAUGAAAACAAUACAUCAAUGAGGAGUUAGUUCAAAAAGUUAAAUACAUUCUAUAUGUAUGGAUAAAAGAAGGGCUCAAAAGUCCUCUUUAUUGAAAAAAAAUUGUAAGAAAAAGACCUUUCCUUUCGUUAGAAAUUCUAAAAAGUCUAUUCUGGAAAAGAGUCAUAAAUUAAUAAAAAA